This is a long non-coding RNA of Tachyglossus aculeatus (Australian echidna), 229 nucleotides long. RefSeq lists it as uncharacterized. NCBI's taxonomy places the organism in Eukaryota, Metazoa, Chordata, Mammalia, Monotremata, Tachyglossidae. The transcript is spliced from 2 exons. The record is from RefSeq and is a predicted model, not a curated record.
CUGCCCUUCCCCUUCGGCAUCUGGUUGGGCUUCAACAUGGGCCUGGGCACUGGCAGAAAAGAGCGGCCCAGUGAUGGAUUGCAGGCAUAGGCCAUGAAAUCAGUCGCUUGUCUCAAAGCUCCCAAACCUGCCGAGAUUAGUGAACUGAUGAUAUAAAAAAGAGCUUUUCUACCAUCGUUAAUGUCUCUUCUCCAGCUCUGACAAAUAAAAGCGAAAGCUGUUCUUUUUA